Setaria italica (foxtail millet) is the source of this 716-nucleotide long non-coding RNA. RefSeq lists it as uncharacterized. The record is from RefSeq and is a predicted model, not a curated record. NCBI's taxonomy places the organism in Eukaryota, Viridiplantae, Streptophyta, Magnoliopsida, Poales, Poaceae. The transcript is spliced from 5 exons.
CUCACCAGUCACCACGGCAAGGGAAUGCCUGAAGCUCAACACGCUGACGGAUCUAGAGGUGCAGAUCCAUGGAUGCUCUAAUGAUGACGCCGGUGAGGGCGUGAGGCGAGCUCGUCUCCGUCUCGGUUCAUGCUGCCGCCGUCCCCGCCUCCACAGCAGCAGCAGCCCUCGCCGGUGACCACCUCGGCGGGCCGCCGCAUGGAUCCACUCCAACCCUCCAAGCUCUGUAAAUUGUCAUUCCAGAAAGCUCCACAAUCUAUACAAUGAUAAAUCUAUGCUCAGAUCUGCAGAGAUUGCCAGGGACUAGAACCUUUCAUUGUACUUCUACGGAUCUCCAUUAUUAGCAUAGAAAGCUGCGCACGAGUGAAUAUUCAAACCUCAUAUAUUCUGAGGCUUUUGUGGUGUACUAAGCAGACCAAGAUCCUUCUCAUGAAGUGGACAGGCUUGCAGAGAAGACAGAAACCUUGGCAGGACCUGCAUCUGUUUAGCUGACCAGACAUCAAAGUUGGUAGGGAGUACAAAAGCCAAGAGGUGGAAGAGGAAAGUCGCCAAGUAGAAGCCAUCGCUCAUGAUGUAGUGGUGUGAUGUUGUUUAGUUGCCCCAGUAUGGAUUGUUAAUAAGCUAGGGCCGGAACAUAAACUCAAGACUCAAGAACAUAAACUCUGUAAUAAUACUGCAAAUGAUCAAAGAGUUCUGCUCAUCAAGCGUCAACAGAA